GCCUACCGCAGAAACGAAAAGCCCAGUUUCCAUAAUCUCAUGUAACAUUUUUUGCUAUUAUUAACAAUAAAUUGGGGCUAUAAAUAGCAUAGGCAGAGCUUAGCAAAAGUAAAACUCACUACCCCACAACAAAUCAUGUCCGGGGAAAUCAUAUAGUAUCACAUAAACUAACUCCACAACCUACAACAAUGAGAACAAAUUUCAACAGUAAAGCAUGUUAAGUAAUCCUGAUUUUGUUUAAGCACAAAUAAAAACACUUAAAAGUAUUCAAGAACCUGAAUUUUGUUUAGGCAAAAAUACCAACUAUUAAAGCAUGUCCAAGAAUACAAGGGGGAAAAAAUAAAAAAAUAACAAAAUAAAAAGAAGGAAAAGAAAAGCAAGGAAUCACAAAUAUUUGUGAUUCUAGGUCAAAACAAAUCCAAAAUGCAAUACAUGCAAUACCACUGUGAUUGAGCUCA
Molecule: unclassified non-coding RNA, 458 nt
Filed under: Hevea brasiliensis (rubber tree)
Lineage: Eukaryota; Viridiplantae; Streptophyta; Magnoliopsida; Malpighiales; Euphorbiaceae
Source: RNAcentral